UUAAGUUCAGCGGGUUUUCUUGCUCGAUUUCAGACCAAGUUAUCAAACAAUGAUCCAGGGAUCACUGAGAGUGUAUUUUGGUUGAGUGUAAGAUCAUCCGGACAAUGGAAUCGCUUCUCAUCAAGAGGUAACGAAUGGGCUAACAUCUGUUGCACUUGAGAGAACCGAACCAAGAAAGGCCGGUUGCAAACACAAUCAUU
Molecule: unclassified non-coding RNA, 200 nt
Filed under: Powellomyces sp.
Lineage: Eukaryota; Fungi; Chytridiomycota; Chytridiomycetes; Spizellomycetales; Powellomycetaceae
Description: partial internal transcribed spacer 2
Source: RNAcentral